UACGUAGGGUGCGAGCGUUGUCCGGAAUUAUUGGGCGUAAAGAGCUCGUAGGCGGUCUGUCGCGUCGGUCGUGAAAACUUGGGGCUUAACCCUGAGCUUGCGGUCGAUACGGGCAUGACUGGAGUUCGGCAGGGGAGACUGGAAUUCCUGGUGUAGCGGUGAAAUGCGCAGAUAUCAGGAGGAACACCGGUGGCGAAGGCGGGUCUCUGGGCCGAUACUGACGCUGAGGAGCGAAAGCAUGGGGAGCGAACAGG
This 254-nucleotide ribosomal RNA is filed under the name uncultured bacterium. RNAcentral describes it as "partial 16S ribosomal RNA". It matches the Rfam family "Bacterial small subunit ribosomal RNA", at positions 524 to 776 of the family's 1533-position model. The record is from RNAcentral.